Non-coding RNA from Macrostomum lignano, 46 nucleotides. NCBI's taxonomy places the organism in Eukaryota, Metazoa, Platyhelminthes, Macrostomidae. The record is from Rfam.
AAAACGGCCUUUUUCAAGGCCACCACGUGUCAGAUAGUGCUGUUCG